Molecule: ribosomal RNA, 253 nt
Filed under: uncultured bacterium
Lineage: Bacteria
Description: partial 16S ribosomal RNA
Rfam family: Bacterial small subunit ribosomal RNA
Source: RNAcentral
UACGAAGGGGGCUAGCGUUGUUCGGAAGCACUGGGCGUAAAGGGCGCGUAGGCGGCUUUGUAAGUCGGGGGUGAAAGCCUGUGGCUCAACCACAGAAUUGCCUUCGAUACUGCAUGGCUUGAGACCGGAAGAGGUUAGUGGAACUGCGAGUGUAGAGGUGAAAUUCGUAGAUAUUCGCAAGAACACCAGUGGCGAAGGCGGCUGACUGGUCCGGUUCUGACGCUGAGGCGCGAAAGCGUGGGGAGCAAACAGG